AGAGGCUUCAGGACUGCUUUAGGUGACAUUAUCAUAAUGAACCUGCAGUUGGCUGCUGUUUUCUUUACCUUCUCUCUUGGAACAAAACUCCACUACUUUGGCCGCACAAUUUUACAUGGUGGCGCGAAAUACAGAGCAACUGGGCGUGGUUUUGUCGUGAGACAUGAGAAGUUUGCUGAGAACUACAGGAUGUACUCGAGGAGCCAUUUCACCAAAGCACUGGAAAUUAUGAUUUGCCUCAUAGC
RNAcentral lists this long non-coding RNA (245 nucleotides) under Solanum lycopersicum (tomato). Its description in RNAcentral is "long non-coding RNA (SLYC_LNC000855)". The record is from RNAcentral. Lineage: Eukaryota; Viridiplantae; Streptophyta; Magnoliopsida; Solanales; Solanaceae.